RNAcentral lists this long non-coding RNA (21021 nucleotides) under Ananas comosus (pineapple). Its description in RNAcentral is "long non-coding RNA (ACOM_LNC034088)". Lineage: Eukaryota; Viridiplantae; Streptophyta; Magnoliopsida; Poales; Bromeliaceae. The record is from RNAcentral.
AUGACACAUUAGCGAUAGAGAGAAUUUCAAUGAGUUUGGAAAGCACCACCCACCUUGUAGGUCUAUUUAGGUGUUGUCGAUGAUUUCUUGGGAUUUUUAGACGUCUCGUUCUCUGUACCUGCGGCCAAACGAACCUUAUUAGGCCAUUUUGUUACUUCAAACUUUACUUUGACUUUUCGGUAAUGUAUAUUCCGAGCGCACCAAUGCGUCGGAAAUCCCCAAUUAGAUUUUUAGAGGGUCAAUUGCACUUAGAACCCUCAUGAGCAAAAGCCCCAAUUUGGUGCCUAGCUCCAAUACUCAUGUCAAACCUUUAGGGUUUGAUCUCAUUGGGAAGCAAAAAGUAGCUUCAUUAUGCUCUAAAUAAUCCAUUAGAACCAUUCUAGCUUUCCAAAACCCUUAGUUUGGAUUUCACCAUUGAGAGGUGGUCCAAGCUCACCUAUAAAGCAAACUGAGUUUCGAUCUCUUUAGAAGCAAAAAAAGCUUCAAAACUCUUUAUCAUUCCAUUAAAACCUUUUUAGGUUCAUUCAAGCCAUUUCUAGGUUUUACUACAUGUAGGUUAAAAGCUUACUCAAGCUUUCCUUUUCUUCAAGCUAGAGAUGAAGGAGAAGGAGUUUCUUCACUUUUCUUCUUCUUCUCCACUUCUUCCUCUCUUUUCCUUCUUUUCUUCCUUUCUUCUUCUUCUCUUUUUGUCUCUAGAGAGAAGAGGGCGAGAGAAGAGAGUGUUGGAGAGGGGUGGAAAAUGAGAGAAAAUCUCAUUUACCCCAAUACUAUACUCAAUGGGUUGCCAAAAUGCAAAAACCCCUUAUUCACUUUAAUACAUUGCCUAAACUGGGCAGUUCGCGCAGGCGGAGACCGUCUCCCGAGCAGGGACCGGUUCCCGAACGUUCACCCUGCGCAGCCAAGUCGCUGGCGCCGAUGCGACCGGUCUCUUCUCCGAGGGACCGGUCUCUGGGGACCGGUCUCUCAGACAGAGACCGGUUCCCGAGAGCUAUCCCUCAGGACUUAGUGAUUUUUCGGCUGUCUCAUUUGCACGCGUUCGGCGGACCGGUCUCUACCACCAGGGACCGGUCCCGAGAAGCUGAAAAUCUGCAGUUUUGCAGAAUUCAAUUCUUUAGCUCUCGAAAACUUUCACAACUCACUUUUAAUCAUCUUUAACACCUUCGGACUUUCGAAGUGCUCCGUCCUCGCACUUUUGGUCAAUUUGACUAAAGUUCGAUAUUUAUUUUCGAAUUUUCGGUAUAUUACAUUCUCCACCCCUUAAAAUAAUUUCAGUCCGCGAAAAUUACGCAUACCUUAACUCGUUCGAUCGAAUAGAUGCGGAUUUUUUCCCAUUGACUCCUCGAGCUCUCCAAGUGGCUUCUCGCGCCGCGGGUUGCUCCAUUGCGACUUUUCACAUAUGGAAUUUUGCGACUUCGCGCACUUUUUAACUUCUCGGAUCGAGAUGCCACGGCUGCCUCUCAUAGGACUGCUUUCAGUAUCCUAGCUCCACGGGCUCGUAUUCCAAUACAUGUGCCGCGUUUCGGAUAUACUUUCGAAGAUUCAACACAUGAAAACACAUUGUGAACUCCCGCGAGUCUCGGGGGUAGUGUCAAGCUUGUAUGCCACCGCACCCACUACGCUCCAAUAUCUCGAAUGGUCCGACAUAUCGGGGACUUAGCUUCCCCGGACCCCAAAUCGCUUAACUCUCGCAUUGGCGACACUCUCAGGAAUCACGGUCUCCAACCGCGAACUCUAAAUCUUUCUUCGCUUGUCGGCAUAACUCUUUUGCCGAGAUUGCGCCAUCACUAACCGUUGACGGGCAAGGCGAACUUUCUCUUCCGCCCCGCCACCACAUCGGGCCAAGGGUCACUCUCUCGCCCACGUCGCUCCAAUGGAUAGGAGAACGACACUUUCGACCAUAUAGUGCCUCAAAAGGCGCCAUCGUAUACUUCUUGGUAGCUGUUAUUGUAGGCGAACUCCGCCAUAGGAAGAAAUCAUGCCAUCCUCCUUUUGAUAUAAUCCAGCACACACGCUCGAAGCAGAUCCUCAAGGAUUUGUAUUGUCCGUUCUGACUGUCCAUCACCUUGAGGAUGAAACGCCUGUACUGAAGUCGACCGAUGUGCCUAGUGCGUCUUGCAAACUCUUCCAAAAACGGGAUGUGAACCUGGGGUCGCGAUCGACACGAUCCGAUACUGGAACCCCAUGAAGUCUCACAACCUCGUCGAGAUAAACUUCGCGUAGCUUGUCUCCCGACCACGGGUAUGUAUCGGCAAGAAGUGUGGCCGACUUUUGUCAGUCGAUCCACUAUCACCCAUAUCGCAUCGUGUCCGCCUUGCGAUCGAGGCAACCGGUAACAAAAGUCCAUUGCUAUAUCUUCCCAUUUCCAAACGGGGUAAUUGGUAGACUUUGUAACUUUCCCCGGAAAUCGCGGUCGGCUUUAACUUGUUGGGCACGUCAGACAUUGCGCACGAACUUCCAAUAUCUCUUUUCAUACCGGCACCAAUAGUGCUCUUUCAAGUCCUUGUACAUUUUAAGUGCCGCCGGGGUGUAUACUAUAGGAGCGAUUGAUGCGCUUCUUGCAUGAGUCGCCCUUCGUAACUCAUCAUCUUUAGGCACACACCACGAUUUCGAAAUCGAAGUGCCGCCAUCAAUUCCAACGCCAAAAUCUUCGGCUUUACCACUCUCAAAACCACCCCGAACCUUUUGAAGAUAAGGAUCCGAAGUUGUAACUCUCGAUUCUUUCCAAUAGGGUCGGUUGCACAACCAAUGUGGCAAGUGUAGCGGCACUCCCGCGCGCUACACUCCAACCCAAAUUCGUUGCAUUUCCUUCUGUAAUAGCGGGUUGAGGCGUAAUUUGCCGUCGCUAAGUUUUCGCCGAUUUUCUACUCAAGGCAUCGGCUACAACAUUGGCUUUUCCGGGGUGGUAUAAUAUUAGUGACAUCAUAGUCCUUUAGCAGCUCUAACCACCGCCGCUGUCGCAUGUUCAACUCUUUCUGGGUGAAACAAGUACUUUAGGCUCUUGUGAUCGGUAUAUACCUCACAAUGUUCCCACAUCAAGUAAUGCCUCCAAGCUUUAGCGCGAAAAUCAACCGCGGCUAACUCCGAGUCGUGAAUCGGGUAGUUCUUCUCAUAGCUCUCAAGUUGGCGCGAUGCAUAUGCAAUAACUCGCCUAUUUUGCAUUAAUACACACCCCGAGACCAACAUACGAGGCAUCACUGUACAUAACAAAGGUCUCGCGGUGUUGCAAGGCAAAGCACCGGGGUCGACGUCAACCUGUUCUUUACUCCUCGAAGCUUCGCGAUCCGACUCGUCUCACACGUACUUACUCCUUUAUGGGUAAGGCGCCGUUAGUGGAGUGGUUAUUUUGGCGAACCCCUCCACGAACCGCGGUAGUAAUCGCCAGUCCAAGAAAACUGCGGAUCUCCGCUACUUUCGUUGGCGAGGCCAAUCCUUGAUCGCCUCUAAUUUCUUCGGGUCUACGAAACUCCGUCGCCCGAUACACAUGACCCAAGAAUGUGACCUCCUUUAGCCAAAAGUCACAUUUCUUUAACUUUGCAUAGAGCUUCUCUUGUCUGAGUAUUUGCAACACAGCUCUCAGAUGCUCUUAUGUUCCUCUUCGCUUUUCGAAUAGACCAAUACGCCGUCUAUGAACACCACGACGCAUCGAUCAACAACGGCCUAAGACUCGAUUCAUCAAGGUCCAUAAAUGCUGCCGGGGCAUUAGUAAGCCCAAACGGCAUAUACGUUACUCAUAAUGGCCAUACGCGUACGAUACGCUUGUUUUAUGCAACAUCCUUCGCUGAUCUUUAACUGAUGAUACCCCGAUGGAGAUCAAUCUUCGGAGUCACCUUGGACCUUGGAACUAUCGAAUAGAUCGUCAAUUUUGGCAUGGGUACUUGUUCUUUAUCGUCAUUUUUAUUCAACUCGCGAAAUCUACGCAAGUCGAAGUGUACGUCCUUUUUUCUUCAAAUAAGCACGCGAGCUCCCCACGGUGACACAUCGGUCCGCACGAAGCCGCUUAUCGAGCAAGUAGUUGUAAUUGACCUUUUAGCUCCUUUAACUCCACCGGUGCCAUUCUAUACGGAGCCUUCGAAACUGGUUUCGCCCCGGGAAUCAAGUCAAUGACAAACUCAACUUCCCGGUCCGGUGGCAGUCCUGGUAAACUCCGCGAACACAUCCGGAAACUCGCACACUACCUCGGACAUUCCCCAACUCUGUAUACUCUUUCGAGCAUCUACCAUGGUUGCCAAAUUAGGCUUACACCCUCCUCUGAUCAUUUUCUUCGCCCUCACAGCGAUAUGGUGCGCGAAGCGCCUACUUUUGCACGCUUGGUAGACUAACUUCUUCUUGAUUAGGCUCACGAAAAGUGAUCACCUUGCUUUCACAAUCUAUCACGCGUAAUUACUUCGAGAGCCAGUUGGUCCCAAGAUAACAUCAAACCACAUCUGAUCUGCACUAGCCAGAUCAAUCGCAUAUCCAAUCGCUAUUUCGACUGGACACGCCAAACACUCAUUAUGGACACUGAAUGAAUGCUCUGGAGCGUUCACCACCAGUAAUCCUCAUGUGUACCAUCUCUAUGCAUGCUUGUUUUAGCAAACGAAGAGCUAAUGAUGAAUGAGAUGCGCCUGUGUCAAACACUGCUCUGGCUCUAGUGCCUUUAAUCACAAUUAUACUGCCACGGACGUCGUGGGUGCUGCAGGUUGUUGCUCCUCCACCUGAGCGGCAAAGAUCGGCGCUCGGGGCUCUCGAUCCUCGGCUGACGCGGUGAUGACGCGGCGCCAGCCGACAUCGCCGGUGGUAUACCCCGCAAGCUGUCUCGGGGUAGACGGUUUGAAGCCGCCGUUGCGCAGCAGAUGACGUCCACGCCGGGCCAUCCCGGAUAAGAAUGUCCCGGUUGGCCACACUUGAAAACAUUUGCCGUCUCGCUGGGGGGCAAGUCGACACCUUGUGUCACCACCACAAUAGACACAUCGAUGGUCGUCUCCAGUUCCUCGACUGCUGUCGGGGAUAACGAGGGGGUUUCUUCAGCAUUUGGCCGGCCCCGGCACACCCGCGGCGUCUCUUUUGCCUUUGUUCCUUGGGACUCGCCAUAGUUCUGCUUCUUCACGUACAAUGGGCGUACCGUGCUCCGCGACAAAGCUCGAUCAAAGACUCCGUCAACGGUCAUAGCUCAAAAUCUGUACUUCUUUCAUAAUCCAGGGGUUGGAGUCCUCGCAAGAACCAAUCCGCCCGUCCGAUCAUCACGAACAACUUCGGGAACACAGGUCGAAUAAUGUGGGAGAAUUCUUUGCUCAUACUCUCCACGAUCGAUCGCCUUGUUAACUUGCGCGUGCUCUUGUAGCUUCCGCUUCAACGUGUCGGGAAGUAGUUGCGAAACCGCUCUUUUGAACUCUCACCAAGCAUGAGUGGGAGAUCGGCAGGCGAUCCCGCUUAACUCGCUUUCCACCACAACCGUCGCCGCCUUCCUAAACAAUGGUGCGAGGUACACUUUAUCCUUCUCCAAGGUAUCAAAUCCUCGAGAGCGUCUCCAUUGAGUCGAUCCACGACUCCACGAUCGCGGCUCCACCAAACCGCGCCUCGAAGGUAGGUGGGUCGAACUUCUUGAACUGAAUGAGAGCGCCAGAGUGCGCUCUCGCUCCGCAUCGUGCCGCGCUAUCGCGGAUUCGAGGUUCCCGCCGGCCGGGACUAGACUACCGUAACUGUGACUAGUCGCCCCUGCCGCCGCUCCUCAACAACAGACCGGGCAUACCACAGGGUGACGGCGCGGACAUGCUCACGCCGCUGGUGCGCCGCGCUGCUGGCGCUCCAAGGUCUCCUGGCAGCGAAUGAUCUGUUCCCCCUGGCGUUGAACAGACUCCGUCUGUUGCCGCACUCUCGAGUAAGCGCGCCAUUUUGAUCCCUAAGCUCACAGUCCACUCGCUCGGUUGCGUCAGGCACCGCGUUCGCUUCCUCAGCAUCGAUCCUUGUUGCGAUCCGACGUCAGAGCAUUGUUCCUGAAGAAGCCACACGCAUGUAGUUACUUGACCACUUUAUCUUAAACCAACCAUUAGGCGACAGAACAAUGCACAUUCAUCCUAUGCCUCAAGCAUCAUUUCGUCGCGCGCCCGAUCAACACUAGAUAGUAAAGGAUAACACGAAAAUAAUUAGCUCUUUAAUCACAUCUGGGAGACGUCCCUGACUUAACCAAUCACAUGCUUUCGCUAACUUGAUUCCAGGUCACUCACGUUUCCUAGAUCCUUAAAGGUCUUUCAAUCCCUAAGGGUUGUCUAGGUACCAUUCUUUAUAUCUAAUCACUAUUGGCUUCUGACCAACUGUAGUCGUCACGCCCCGGGACAGAUGCCAAUUUGGCCCGACCCGAGCACGUCAAACAGACGCCGAACGGACAGGUUGUCCCGAUCCGCCAAGGCUAUCACAUGUACAUUUCAAUAAGAAGUGCGACUAGCGGAACUACACAAACGCUUACACGAGGCGUAAGCAAUAGCCAUUAUGUGAAAGAAAAAGGAAACUAAACAUUCUCAGUAAUAUGAUUCUUUUGACAUCAUACAUUGCAUUCAUCUAUAAUUUAAACGAAUUCUUACAUUCCAAAAUCCUUUACAUUCUUUCAUCAUUUCUUUUACAUACAUUUACUUCAAAUGACAACUAUUCUUUUCUUACUUUGCUUUCACAUCAGCAUCUUAAAUCAUCAAAUACAAAGAUGAUAAGGGGAAACUACUAACAAAAUGCUUAACCCAACUCCGUGGCUCUGACUACGGUGCGAUACUUUACGCGGUUCGUCGCCGGCUCGCUCGUCCGGCUCUCGUGAAAAUAGUGGGGUGAGAACUUUACAAACAAGUUACCCAGUGGGUUCGCCCAACGAUCACCGACUUUCCACUACGGACUAACUCAGGCAUAAUAGAAAGAUAAGUAGAGAUUAUUAGUAACAAAUCUGGAUAAUGAUGCUAUAUGCCUGAACAAACUAAAGCGAAUUAUGCUCAACAUUAAAGAGAUGCAGUUUAUGCAUGUUUCUAUUCGUUCUUUACACUUUAGCUUUGUUCUUUGCCUGUUCUUUAAUCUUAGGUAGCUGAGGGUUUCGCCCACGUUUACUUGCUUCACAUUAGUCCAUCAUCGCAGGAAUCACCGCUAGGACCGUCCUUACGGCCGUACUCCAACCCGGAAGCAUAACUCCGGAGGCAGUCGCCGAGGAGGGAGCGACGCCUCGAGCACGGAAAUCUAGCAAGUAUAUCGAAUCCUUAUACUCAGAAGCGAUUUAUAAGUUCAAUCUUGACUUUACACUAGCUUCUAGUUUCUUUACGAAUUCACUUUAUUGUUGCAAACUCAUGCAAUGCACAUUCUUUACGUUUCUUUUUUUUUGCUAACUCUAAGCAAUUAUAUUGCUUUAUUCCCCAGCAUGGUACGUUUAACUUUAGGACAAUUGUCUAUUUCAUCAUUGCUUUACGAUACUUGUAUCUUUUGCAUCACACUAACGUCUAGUGUCUUUUACUGUAAUUUUCAAAUGCCACGUCGAUCUAUGGUUCAUUGUGCGCACUCUUGUUCUCUUUUGCUCAAGGUUGGAGUGUCACAAUUUUCUCUAUGCAUACAUCUAGGGUUUGAAUUUAUUAAGGUUCUCACCAAUCUCAUCGCAAGUUGUGCUCCAAUAUGCAAUAUCACAUUUCAUCAUAACGUUUACCCGUAAAUGCAAUGCAAAAUAGAUAGAAAAUAUGCUCAAAGAAUGACAAUUAGGAUAGAAGAAUUUCAAUGAGUAUUGGAGCCACCCACUUGUAGUCUAGUUUAGGUGGCUGCGAUGAUUUUCUUGGGAUUUUUAGACAGUCUCUUCUUUACCGCUGGCAAAACGAACCUUAUUAGGCCUUUUGUUCAUAACUUUACUUUGAACGUUUUCGUCAAAUGUUAUUCCAGAGCGCACCAAUGCGUCUCGGAAAUACCCCAAUUUAGAUUUUUAGAGGCGGUGCGAAUUGACUUAGAAGACCUCUGAGCAAAGCGCAUUGGUGGACCUAGCUCAAUACUCAUGUCAACUAGGGUUUGUCUUCAUUGGGAAGAAAAGUAGCUUCAUUUAUGGUCGAUAAUAAUAUUAGAAUUUCUAGGACUUUCCCAACCCUAGUUUGGAUUCACCAUUAGAAGUGCGUCCAGAGCUACCUAUAAAGCAAAAACUAGGUUUCGAUGUCUUUAGAAGCCAAAGAAAGCUUCAAAACUCUUAAUCAUUCCAUUAAACCCUUUUUAGGUUCAUUCAAGGCCAUUUCUAGGCUUUUUAUACUUAGGGUUAAAGCUUACCUAGCUUUCCACUUGGUUCUUCACAAGAUAGGAGAUGGAGGAGAAGGAGUUUCUCACUUCUUCUUCUUCUUCUCACUUUGCUCUUUUCUUUUCCUUCUUUUCUUCAUUUUUCUUCUUUCUCUUUUGAUCUCUAGAGAGAGAGAGGGAGAGAGAAGAGGUGUGGAGGGUGAAAAGUGGGAGAGAAAUUCAUUUACCCAUCCUAUUACUCAAUAGCUGUUGCAAAAUUGAAAUAAACCCUCUUACUUUCACUUUAAUACGACUGCUAAACUGCGCAGAUUCGCGCAGGCGAGACGGUCUCCCGAGCAGGACCGGUUCGCAACGUUCACCUGCGCAGCAGGUCGCUUGGCGCGCGAUGCGACGGUCUCUCUCGAUGGGACCGGUCUUGGGGACGUCUCUCAGACAGAGACGAUUCCCGAGAGUAUACCCUCUAGGACUUAGCGAUUUUUCGGCUGUCUCGAUUUGCACUGCUUCGGGAGCGGUCUCUCCAACAGGACGGGUCCCGAGAGCUGAAAAUUGAGUUUUGCAGAAUUCAUUCUUUAGCUCUCGAAAAUCCUUCACAAUCACUUUUAAUCAUUUUAACACUUCGGACUGUUCCGAAGGGCUCGUCUCGCACUUGGUCAUUUGACUAAAGUUCGAUAUUUAUUUUCCGAAUUUUCGGUAUAUUACAAUACAUCUUGGUGCCGCCUGGGUGAAUGCUAUAGGGAGAUUGAUGCGCUUCUUGCAAAAUCACCCUCCGAAGACUGUCGUCCUUGGGCACGCACCAACGAUCCCGAUAUCGUAGUGCGCCGUCGGUCCCAAUGCCAAACUCAUCGGCACUACCGCUCUCAACUUUGCCCCGCACCUUUCGGAGAAAUUCAUCGGAAGUUUGCAAUCCUUUUAUCUUCUCCAACAAGGUUGGUUGCACAAUCAGUGUGGCAAGUGUUGCCGGCACUCCCUGCGCCACAACCUCAAGUCCAAACCGUUGCAUCUCCUUUUGCAAAGCCGGUUGAGGUGUAAUUUUCGUCGCCAAAUUCUCCGCCGACUUUCUACUUAGAGUAUCGGCCACGACGUUUGCUUUUCCGGGGUGGUAGAGAAUCGUGACAUCAUAAUCCUUGAGCAACUCUAACCACCGUCGCUAUCGCAAGUUUAACUCUUUCUGGGUGAACAAGUAUUUGAGACUUUUAUGAUCGGUGUAGAUCUCACAAUGUUCCCCAUAUAAUAAUGCCUCCACAAUUUUAGCGCAAAAAUAACCGCCGCUAGCUCAAGAUCGUGAGUCGGGUAGUUCUUUUCAUAACUCUUCAACUGGCGCGAAGCAUAAGUUAUGACUCGGCCGUUUUGCAUUAAGACACACCCGAGACCAAUAUAUGAAGCAUCACUGUAUAUGACAUAAUUCUCUCCCGGUGUCGGCAAGGCAAGCACCGAAGUAGAUGUCAGUCUAUUCUUUAGCUCCUCAAAGCUUCACUCACACUCGGGGCUCCAAACACACUUCACCCCUUUGUGCGUAAGGUGCGUUAGUCGAGUUGUUAUCUUGGCAAACCCCUCCACGAGCCGCCGGUAGUAGCCUGCAAGUCCAAGGAAGCUACGAAUUUCCGCCAAACUUGUCGGGCGAGGCCAAUCUUUAAUCGCGUCAACUUUCUUUGGCUCCAACGAGAUGCCAUCUCCGGAUAUAACGUGACCCAAGAAAGUAACCUCCGAAAGACAAAACUCACAUUUCUUCAGUUUUGCAUAAAGAUUUUCCUUCCGGAGUAUCUCCAACACGAGUCGUAAAUGCUCUUUGUGUUCUUCUUCAGUCUGAGAAUAUACCAAUAUGUCGUCAAUGAAUACCAUGACGCACCAGUCCAAUAGCGGAUGGAAGACUCUAUUCAUUAGGUCCAUAAAUGCCGCCGAGGCAUUAGUGAGCCCGAAUGGUAUGACCGUAAACUCAUAAUGGCCAUACCGCGUACGGUACGCCGUUUUAUGCACAUCAUUGGGCCGUAUCUUCAACUGAUGAUACCCCGACUGCAGAUCAAUCUUAGAAUACACCCUUGACCAUUGCAACUGAUCGAACAGAUCAUCAAUCCUCGGCAACGAGUACUUGUUCUUGAUCGUCACCUUGUUCAACUCGCGAUAAUCAACGCAGAGUCGAAGUGUGCCGUCCUUCUUCUUUACAAAUAGCACCAGAGCUCCCCACGGAGACACGCUCGGCCGCACGAAGCCUUUAUCGAGCAAGUCUUGCAACUGGGCUUUUAGCUCCUUAAGCUCUACCGGUGCCAUUCUAUACGGAGCCUUCGAAACUGGCGUCGCCCCGGGAAUCAGGUCAAUGACAAACUCGACUGUCCGGUUCGGUGGCAAUCCCGAUAACUCCGUCAGAAAUACAUCCGGGUACUCGCAUACCACAAGAAUCUUUUCCAACUCCGGGUACUCCCCUUGAGAAUCUACGAUGGUCACCAAGUAGGCCUUACAACCACCUUUGAUCAUCUUCUUCGCCCUCACCGAUGAUAUUGGUCGCCGCAAAGCGCGCACCAUUACACGCCUUAUAAACCAUCUCCUCUUGGUUAGGCUCACGAAAAGUGAUCACCUUCCUUUCGCAAUCGAUAACCGUGUAAUACUUGGAGAGUCAAUUGGUACCCAAGAUUACGUCAAAGCCCCACAGAUGCUUCAACACCAAUAGGUCGAUUGGCAUAAUCCAAUCGCCUAUCUGUACUGGGCAGUCCAAACACUCGUCAUGCACAUGAAACGUAAGUCCAGGUGCUGUCACCGUCCAAUAAUCCUCAUAAUGCGUGACCUCUAUGUCAUGNAUUACGUCAAAGCCCCACAGAUGCUUCAACACCAAUAGGUCGAUUGGCAUAAUCCAAUCGCCUAUCUGUACUGGGCAGUCCAAACACUCGUCAUGCACAUGAAACGUAAGUCCAGGUGCUGUCACCGUCCAAUAAUCCUCAUAAUGCGUGACCUCUAUGUCAUGAGCUAGUGCAAAUGAUGCUGUUAUGAAUGAUUGGGAUGCACCUGUAUCAAAUAUGGCUCUAGCUCUAGUGCCUCUGAUAAGGAUAAUACCUACCACGACGUCGUCGGGAACGGUAAUCGGCAGCUCCUCCACCUGAGUGGCAAAUACCCGCCCACUAGGUGCUCGAGAGGCCUCCGGCUGACGAGGCGCCGACGAUCGUCCAGCAGGCAUAGCGGGUGGCAGUCCCGCCAGCUGUCGCUGAAUAUACUGAACUGAAGCUGAUGACGAAGCUGGGGAUGCGCUACCCGGGCACCUCGGCCUAUGUGUCCCGGUUGGCCGCAUCGGUAACACCGCCUAUAGCACACUGGACCUGUGCAAAUUGCCAGGUUCGAGUGUUUGAUAUGGAUUCCGAACUUUUCCACACUUGGUGGAAGGUCGUAGAUGAUAUUCCGACCUAAAAGUUCGAUUCCUAGAGUUUUGAUAUUGUCCUGAGAGUUUUCACUCUCGGGGACCAGUCCCUGAUAGGAGAGACCGGUCCCCUCAGAACAGUGUCGCGGCAGCCUGCGAGGCAACCGGUCCCUGGCGGCUGAGACCGAUCCCCGAGCGCGUCUACGCGGGGAGAGACUGGUCCCAUACGGGGAGAGACCGGUUCCCGAACGUUGGAUUUUCGGGGCAGGCUGAGAGACCGGUUCCAGGUCGGGGAGACCGGUCCCUCAGUCCGAAAACUGCCCAGUCCGGGCAGUGCACAGUAUUGAUUAUUGAGGGACCUAAGUCGAUUUUUUUUUACUUAGGAUGGCUUAUAUGGUCCUCUCUCUUACUCGCACUCUCAUUUCUCUCCCUCACACCCACUCUAGAGAGAGAAAGAGAAGGAGAAGAAGAAGAAGGAGAGGAGAGGAGCUUACUUGGAGGCCUUGGAGCAUCAUUUUCUACCUCAUUUCUCACCUUUGGUGGCUUAGAGCUUGCGGUUGGAGCUUUGUGGAGGAUCAAACUUCAACCCUACUUGGUUUAGAGCUUGGAUUGGAGCUUCUCUUGAGGUUGGUAGCUUGUAUUUCCCAUUUAAUACAAGUUUUUCUAGAUUUUGCUAGAUGAAACCCUAGUUUUAAAAUUUAAGGUUUAUUUUGGAGAUUUUCGAUUUGAAGGCUUUGAAACCUAAUUGAUGGGUUUAGAACCUUUAUUUAGGUUGGGUUUGAUGAACUCUAACUCCCAUUUGGAGCUUGAGAGAAGAUUUCUUCACCUAGCUGAGUUUUUCUCCACCUUAGCCUAUGUUGGUUAAUGAUCGAUCACUUGGGUGUUCGUAAGGUUCGCUUGACUCUCUUUUCUAUACCUUUAGGGUACUAGGAGAGUGGUGGACACCUUCGUCGGAGCUUACGAAGGGUUUCGGUAACUUCGGUGGGUUUGACUUUAUGAAAUCGGGGCGAAAUGGCUCCUAAGUAUUCUAUACUUAUCGUAACGUCAAUUUGAUUGCAUAUUCAUGUUAAAUGGGAUUUAUGUGAAUUUUAGAACACUUAAAAUGCAUACCUUAUGUAUUAUGAAAAUUUCACUCUAUAUAGUAGGGCAUUCUGGGCAUUUUUGCAUGCGUAUGGGAAGUGUUCGUGUUAGCGACUUGGAAACAUGUCUCUUAUGUUAGAAUUUGCUCAAAUUAUGCAUUUGUAAACAAUAAACUCAUGUUUGGACUUAGUGGGCAAAAAUGCCAUAAAGAGGCACUUGAUAUAGUAAACGGUGAGACUGCAACAUAGAGACAUAGUGAUAGGCCAUUGAACAUCUGCUAUAUUCCAUGUUAGAGACAUGAUGACAUAGAGAUAGGCCUUUGGGACAUUCGACGUAUAUUCCAUGUUUUAGACAUGAGGACUUGGUACUUGAGACAGAUCUUUCGCUUGCUUGCCAUUGUAUUCAUUCGCACAUGCUUGUGAGGGUCGCUCCCUACAAGCCGGCACUCCGGAGAUAGCCAUCGCGACUUAUGCUCGCUCGUGCGGGAUUGGGCGCCGAAAUGGGAUGCCGUGGGGGAGGCUCAUUUCUAGAGUGGGGAUGUUGACUACCACGGGGCCAUUAGGCACGGCGCAGGCCGGACUACCCACGGGUAGGUCCUACAGGAUUGGAUCAUUGAUGACUUAGCAUACCGACUGGACAUUCACUAGAAUAGUAAACAAGACAUUUUACUAUUUAGCUUGUGAACAUCAUGCUAGUGAUACUUUGGUACUUUCAUGUUAGAAUAGUCUUUUAUUACUUAUGCAAAUUCAUGCUAAGUAGAGAUAUUAUGUUGUUUUACUUACAUAUCGAUUCUAUUGCUUUUAUUGUUACUUACCUGUUUAGCUCAUUUGGGCCUAGUGGUGCUUUCACUGAAGUUAGUAAUUGCCUACUGGGAACUAUUAUUUAAUAGUUCUCACACCCCUAUUUCUAUGUUUCCUUUUUAGAGCCCUCUGCACCGGCGGAGGCACGGGAUCGCGGCAAGGGGAUCGCUAGCUAGAUAGCGAGGAUUUACUGUUGCCUAGGUGGUUUUCUCUCUUUUUGUUGUCGUUGAGAGAGAGAGAGGUUUUGUAUCAAUGUAUAGAGACCACCUAUGUAUUUACUUAUAGUACUUGUUUCGGGAUUCUUCUUGUACUACUUUAUGUUUUCAUCUAGUGGAUUUUAGUUUAUGGUUCUUUUUCUCUAUUGUAGCAUCUAGAUAUACUUGCUCUGAUACUCCUAGGUGUUCUCUUUUUACUGCUUCAUUUAUCGUUUUGUUUUAGACGCCUUAUAUGUUUUAGACAUAUGGCGGGUCUGGACACGCGCCAGGCGGGCUUCCGCUGAGUCCUGGGGCGUGACAGAUUAGUUUUGUAUCAGAGCCUAGGGUUGAGUCUUAGUGGACCUAGCAAACCUUAAACCGGUUGGACUAUAGGAAAUAGGCUCGUGAGAGACGGGUCAAAUUGACUUGUAAGCGAAAGUAUCGUGAUUGGGUAUCUUGAUAACUCUAGAAAGUGGAGUUAAAUUAAAGUGUAUAGCUCCUAACUUUGCGGAGGGUUACGCUGGCCCUGGCUGCCCGCGGGGAAAGCUCUCUGGUCCCGAGGCGUGACAGAUAUAGUGGUAUCAGAGCCAAAGUGAAAGAAUAGGAAUGGACCUAGAGACCCUUAGAAUUGGAAGACCUUAAGGAUCUAGGAAACGCGAGUGACGUGGAAUCAAAGUUAGCGAAAGCAUGUGAUUGGGUCAAGUUGUAAAGUCUCUAAUGUGAUUAGAGGUUAAGUUUGAAUUGAUGCUCAUUCUCUACUCCUUGUUUUGUGUCGGGCGGCCGACGACAUAAUGCUUGGGGCGAGAAUGAAUGUGUAUGUUUGCUUUCGACGAGUUGGGUAUGAAUGAGUAAUGUUGGUCAUGUAGCUAAUGCGAAUUGCUUCUUUCCAGGAAGCAAUGGCACCUCGUGGUUGACUGCAGACAAGGUCGAUGCCUGAGGAGUCGAAUGCGGCACCCGAGCGAUCCGGAGCGAGUGGCGACGGAGAGCUUCGGGAGCAAAUGGCCGCGCUUAUAGGCGUAGUGCGGCAACAAGCAGAGUCUAUUCAACGCCAAGGGGAGCAGAUUCAACGGCUCCAGAAGGCCUUGGAGCGUCAGCAAGUGGAGGCGACCCAGGCGGGUGUCGAGCAUGUCGCGCCCCUGCGGUAGUGCCGAGCGUAUUUGAGGGAGCAGCGGCAGCGGCGGCUGUGCCCGUCACGGUAGUAUCGGCCGGAUCGGGAACCUCAAAUCCCGAUAGUGCGGCGGUAGAGGCAGAGCGAGAGCGCGCGUUGGUAGCUCUCAUUCAGUUCAAGAAGUUCGAUCCACCUAUCUUCAAAGGCGGUUUGGCGGAACCAGCGGUCGUGGAGUCAUGGAUCGACUCGAUGGAAACGCUCUUCGAGGACCUAAAUACCUCGGAGAAGGAUAAAGUGUACCUCGCCACCCAUUGUCUCGAGAAGGCGGCAAUGGUGUGGUGGAAGCGAGUCAAGCGGGAUCGACCUGUCGAUCUUCCGCUUAUGCUGUAAGAGGAGUUCAAGCGAGCGGUAUACGCAAACUACUUCCCCGACACGGUGAAGCAGAGACUACAAGAGAAGUUCCGCAAGUUGAGACAGGGUGACCGAUCGGUGGGAAAAUAUGAGCAAGAGUUCACUCACAUUAUCGACUGCGUUCGCGAUGUUGUUCGAGAUGAUCGGGAUCGGGCUGAUUGGUUCUUGCGAAGACUCCAGCCAAGGAUCUGUGAGAAGGUGCAAAUUCUGAAGCUUACGACCUUUGCGGAGGUCUUUGAUAGAGCUUUAUGGGCGGAGCACGGUAGCGCCCACGUUCGAGAGGAACGGGAGGCUAUGGCCGAGACGAAGGACAAAGGCAAGAAGCGAAUGGCAGGCGGUGCCGGGGGCCGGCCGAAUGCUAAGAAACCUCCUCGGUAUCCCCGACAACAGUCGAGGAACUGGAGACCACCUCAAUGCGUCAUAUGUGGCGAAGAGCACCGAGUGUCGUCUUGCCCGCAGCGAGAUGGCAAAUGUUUUAAAUGUGGCCAACUGAGACAUCUUAUCCGGGAGUGCCCGAGCUGGACGUCGUCUGCGCCGACGGCAGCAUCAGCACCGACUACCCCGAGACAACUUGCGGGGUUGCCACCAGCGAUGUCGGCUGGGCGCACAUUGUCACCGCGUCAGCCGGAGGGAUCGAGAGCACCUAGCAGACGGGUUUUUGCCGCUAAGGUAGAGGAGCAGCCUGCAGCACCCGACGAUGUCGUGGCAGGUAUAGUUAUGAUUAAUGGCACUAGAGCUAGAACACUGUUCGAUACUGGUGCAUCACGUUCAUUUGUAAGCGCAUUAUUUGCAAAAACGCAUGGCAUAAAAAUGACACAUAAUGAGGACUAUUGGUGGGUAAAUGGUCCCGGGACGGCGCCAGUUUCGAAGGCUCCGUAUAGAAUGGCACCGAUGGAGUUAGUGGAGCUUAAGGCCCAAUUGCAAGACUUGCUCGAUAAAGACUUCGUGAGGCUGAGUGUGUCACCGUGGGGAGCUCCGGUGCUAUUUGUGAAAAAUAAGGAUGGUACGCUUCGACUCUGCGUGGAUUAUCGCUAGUUGAACAAAGUGACGAUAAAGAACAAGUACCCGUUGCCUAGGAUUGACGAUUUAUUCGAUCAGUUGCAAGGGUCAAAGGUGUAUUCGAAGAUUGAUCUCUAGUCGGGGUAUCAUCAACUAAAGAUUAGAUCGAAGGAUGAGCACAAAACGGCGUACCGUACGCGGUAUGGCCAUUAUGAGUUCACGGUAAUGGCGUUUGGGCUUACUAAUGCCCUGGCAGCAUUUAUGGACUUGAUGAACCGAGUCUUUAGGCCGUUGUUGGACCGGUGCGUCGUGGUGUUUAUAGACGACGUAUUGGUUUACUUGAAAAGCGAGGAGGAGCAUGAGGAGCAUUUAAGAGUUGUGCUGCAAUUACUCAGACAAGAGAAGCUCUAUGCUAAGUUGAAUAAGUGUGACUUUUGGCUAAAGGAGGUCACAUUCUUAGGUCAUGUGGUAUCGGGCGACAGAGUUUCGGUAGACCCGAAGAAAGUGGAGGCGAUCAAGGAUUGGCCUCGUCCGACAAACGUAGCGGAGGUCCGCAGUUUUCUCGGACUUGCGGGCUAUUACUGGCGGUUCGUGGAGGGGUUUGCUAAAAUAACUACUCCACUAACGCGCCUUACCCAUAAAGGAGUAAAGUACGUGUGGAGCGACAAUUGCGAUCGAAGCUUCGAAGAGUUGAAGAACAGGUUGACGUCAACCCCGGUGCUUGCCUUGCAGACCCCGGGGGAGAUUUUUGUGGUGUAUAGUGAUGCCUCGUAUGUCGGUCUCGGGUGUGUACUAAUGCAAAAGGGGCGAGUCAUUGCAUAUGCAUCACGCCAAUUGAAGAGUUACGAGAAAAACUACCCGAUUCAUGACCUUGAGUUAGCUGUGGUGAUCUUCGCGCUAAAGCUAUGGAGGCAUUACCUACAUGGUGAGCAUUGUGAAGUCUACACAGAUCACAAGAGUCUCAAAUACUUGUUCACCCAGAAGGAGUUGAGUAUCCGACAGCAGCGGUGGUUAGAAUUGUUGAAGGACUACGAUGUCACUAUGUUAUACCACCCCGGGAAAGUAAAUGUCGUUGACGAUGCUUUGAGCAGAAAAUCAGCGGAUAACCUAGCGACGGCAAUUACGAGUCAACCCUUUUUGCACAAGGAAAUGCAAAGGCUUGGGUUGGAAGUAGUAGCGCCGGGAGUGCCGGUUAUUCUUGCCGCAUUAAUUGUGCAACCAACCCUAUUUGAAAGGAUUAAUGAGUUGUAGGCAUCGGACCAUUACCUCCAAAAGGUUCAAGGUGAAGUUGAAAGUGGAAGUGCCGAGGACUUUGGCAUUGAAGCCGAUGGCGCACUCCGAUUUCGAAAUUGUUGGUGCGUGCCUAAAGAUGAUGAUAUUCGAAGGGCGAUUAUGCAAGAAGCGCACCAAUCCCCUUAUAGCAUACACCCUGGUGGCACUAAAAUGUAUCAAGAUCUAAAAGUAUACUAUUGGUGGCGAGGCAUGAAGAAAGAUGUUGGGGAGUUCGUGGCGUAGUGUCUCACGUGCCAACAAGUUAAGGCGGAGCGCCGGUUUUCAGCGAGAAAGCUGCAAAGUCUAUCAAUACCCGUUUGGAAAUGGGAAGAUAUAGCGAUGGACUUUGUUACUGGUUUGCCUCGAUCGCAAGGCGAACACGAUUCGAUAUGGGUGAUAGUGGAUCGACUGACGAAGUCAGCUCAUUUCUUGCCGAUUCACACCACGUGGUGUCACGCCCCGGGACCGAUGCCAAUUUGGCCCGACCCGAGCACGUCAAACAGACGCCGAACGGACAGAGUUUUUCCUAUCCGCCCAAGGCUCAUCACAUGUACAUUUUCAACAAUAGAGAAAAGCACUAGCGGAAACAUACACAAACGGCUUACACGAGGGUAAGCAAUAGCCAUUAGUGAAAGAAAAAGGAAACUAAACAUUCACAAGUAAUAUGAUUCAUUUUAGAUCAUAUACAUUGCAUCCAUCUAAUAAUUUAUCGAAUUCUUACAUUCAUUACAUCAUUUCAUCAUUUCUUUCUUACAACACAAUUACCUCAAAAUAAGCUUUACAUUCUUUCUUUAUAUCACUAAUCAUCAAAUACAAAAGAUGAUCAUAAGGUACUUUACUACAAAAUGAAACCCAACAUUGGUGGCCUCUGACUAAGCGCUAUACCUUUACCUCCGUCGCUCGCCGGCUCGCUCGGUCCCGGCUCUGUGGAAAUAGUGGGUGAGAACUACAACAAAGUUCCCACGUGGGUUCGGCCCCAACAUCACCGACUUUCCCACAGGACUAACUCAGGCAUAAUAGAAAGGAUAAGUAGGAUAUAGUAACCAAUCUAUAACAUGAUGUAAUAUGCCUGAACAAAUAGCAAGAAAUAUGCUCAACAUUAAAUAUAUGCAGAUUAUGCAAAUUCUUUAUUCUUUCACUUUACUUUACUCUUUGUUCUUUACACUUUGUCUUUGCUCUUUGUUCUUUAAUCUCAAGGGUAACCAGGGGUUUCACCACAUUAACUUGCUUCACAUUAAGUCCAUCAUCGAGGAACUCACCAGCUAGGACCGUCCUUACGGGUUUACUCCAACCGGAUUCAUAACUCGGAGCGCAUCGCCCGAGGGGGAGUGACCGCCCUCGAGCACGGAACUCAUAGCAAGUAUGGUCGAAUCCUUAACUCAAAGAUUUAUAAGUUCAAUCUUGACUCUACACUAGCUCUAGUGUUCUUUAUAUCACCUUAUGUUGCAAACUCAUGCAAUCACUCUUACAUUUCUUUACUUUGCUAACUCUAGCAAUUAUAUUCUUUACAUUACAUUGGUUCUUUGCAUCACACUAACUCUAGUGUCUCUUUACCAUACAUUUUCAAAUGCCACUCAUCUAUGUCCAUGUGUCCACUCUGUUCUUUUGCUCACUUUGGGUGCUCACUUUUUCUCAUGCAUACACAUAGGGUUCUCGACAUUUACAUAGUUCUCAUUCAUCAUAUUAUGCAAGAUGUACUCACAAUCAUGCAACAUCACAUUUUCAUCGUUACUUUACCCUAAAAUGCAUGCAACAAUAUAUAUAUACAUGCUCAAAUGAAUGACACAUUAGGCAUAGAGAGAAGUUCAAUGAGUUUGAGAAGCACCACCCACCUUGUAGGUCUCUUUAGGUGCUCCGACGAUUUUCUCGGGAUUUUUAGAUCCUUCGUUCUUUACCUGCGGCAAAACGAAGCCAACUUAGGCCAUUUUGCCCAUAACUUUUCAUCGGCUUUUCGUAACGUUAAUCCGAGCGCACCAACGCGUCGGAAAUACCCCCAAUUAGGUUUUUAGAGGGUCAAUUGCACUUAGAAACCCUCAUGAGCAAAAGCCCCAAUUUGGGUGCCCUAGCUCCAAUAUAUAUCAAAACCUAGGGUUUGAUCUCAUUGGGAAGCAAAAGUAGUUUCAUUAUACUCUAAAUAGUCCAUUAGAACCAUUCUUAGGCUUUCCAAAACCCUAGAUUAGAUUUCACCAUUAGAGGUGGUCCAAGCUCACCUCUAUAGCAAAUCUAGGUUUUGAUCUCUUUAGAAGCAAAAGAAAGCUUCAAAACUCUUUAAAUAUUUCACUAAAACUCAUUUCUAGGUCAUUCAAAACUCAUUCUAGGGUUUUACUAUACUUGGGAUCAAAGCUUACCUCAAAGCUUUCCCAAAGUUGCUCCAAGGAGGAAGGAGAAGAGGUAAGCUUGCUACUUGAUCUUCUUCUUCACCUUCUUUUCCUUCUUUUCCUCCUUUCUUCCUUUCUUCUUAUUCUCCUUCUUGGUCUUCUAGAGAGAGAAAGAGAGGAGAGGGUGUGAGAGGAAGUGGAAUGAGUGGAAAAGCCCCUCAGCCCACUAACAUAGCUUAAUGGGUUGCAAAAAUGCAAUAAAACCCCUCAACUUUCACUUUAAUACACUGCCCGAACUGGGCAGUUUUCGCAGGCAGAGACCGGUCUCCCCGAGCAGGGACCGGUUCCCGAACGUCCACCCUACGCAGCCAGAGCCGCUGCGCGCGAUGCGACCGGUCUCUCUCUGAUGGGACCGGUCUCUGGGGGACCGGUCUCUCAGGAAUAGACCGAUUCCCGAGAGCCGAUCUUCCAGGACUUAGCCGAUUUUUCGGCUGUCUCAUUUCAUACGCGUUCGGGGACCGGUCUCUCCCACCAGGGACCGGUCCCCGAGAGCUGGAAAUCUGCAGUUUUGCAGAAUUUGAUUCUUUAGCUCUCGAAAACCUUCCACAACUCACUUUUAAUCAUUUUAACACCUUCGGACUUUCCGAAGUGUACCGUCCUCGCACUUCGGUCGAUUUGACCUAAGUUCGAUAUUUAUUUUCUGAAUUUUCGGUAUAUUACAUUCUCCACCCCUUAAAAUAAUUUCGUCCGCGAAAUUACGCAUACCUUAACUCGUUGAUUCGAAUAGAUGCGGAUACUCUCUCCGCAUGGACUCCUCGAGCUCCCAAGUGGCUUCCCGCGCCGCAUGGUUGCUCCAUUGGACCUUCACAUAAGGGAUUUUGCGACUCCGCAACUUCCUAACCUCUUUAUCGAGGAUGCACACGGGGUACUCCUCAUAGGACAUGUCUUCACGUAGCUCCACGGGCUCGUAUUCCAAUACAUGUGCCGCGUUUCGGAUAUACUUUCGGAGAUUCGACACAUGGAACACAUUGUGAACUCCCGAGAGUCUCGGUGGUAGUGCGAGCUUAUAUGCCACCGCACCCACACGCUCUAAUAUCUCGAAUGGUCCAACAUAUCGGGGACUCAAUUUCCCACGGACCCCAAAUCGCUUAACUCCUCGCAUUGGCGAUACUCUCAAGAAUACACGGUCUCCAACCGCGAACUCCAAAUCCUUUCUUCGCUUGUCGGCAUAACUCUUUUGCCGAGAUUGCGCCAUCGCCAAUCGUUGACGAGCGAGGCGAACUUUCUC